CUUUUACGACGGAGCCUAAGAUAUUCUUUGUCUUGUCGGUUUUUACAGCAGGGUUUGCAGCCUUUUGUGCUGUUCCGAAGGUACUAGAGUCACCGAAAGAGACAUCCUAUUAUAUGCACGUUCACAAGGACAAUGGCGCCAUUGUUCUUCGCGUCUUCAAAGCAGCUACAAGAAGAAACCAAGUGAAUGCUGACCAGUGAGAUGCCAGCCUGCGUGUGAAGAUCCUACAGCAGAAGUGCAUGGCCAGUGACACAAGAACUUGCGAGAGAUGCCAGUCCGCCUGUGAAGAUCCUGCAGCAGGAGUGCAUAGCCAGUGACACAAGACGUGCGAAUGAAAACUAGAUGUGACCAUCCAGAAAAAGCAUAGACAAAAAAAUGCAGUCUUAGUACUGGGAUGUUUGAGAUGGGGUCUAUCUACAUGUCUCUAGCUGUCCCUAUCAGGACAGCAUCUGGUGUGGCCUGCAGAGUUGAUUCCUGUACUUUUUUUUUUUUGUGGGCUGUAUGUAAAUGGAUUGUUUUGACAAUCCAUUCGACAGUGUUCUCUUCUGUGAAGGUCAUAGGUGAGCUGAUUGACAGACACAGCUGUACAGACUGAAUGCAAUCCUGACUAUAAAGCUGCAGUUCAUCAUUAUGAGCUAUUUCCUUAUUCUGGCAGUGAUUGAAAUAAAAUGGGGAGUAUUGAAAUAAAAAACAUUCAAUUGCAAA
Molecule: long non-coding RNA, 705 nt
Filed under: Mus musculus (house mouse)
Lineage: Eukaryota; Metazoa; Chordata; Mammalia; Rodentia; Muridae
Description: small nucleolar RNA host gene 5
Source: RNAcentral